RNAcentral lists this ribosomal RNA (865 nucleotides) under uncultured archaeon. RNAcentral describes it as "SSU rRNA". It matches the Rfam family "Archaeal small subunit ribosomal RNA", at positions 474 to 1337 of the family's 1478-position model. The record is from RNAcentral.
UACCCACCCCCUGAGUGGUAUGCACAAUUAUUGGGCCUAAAGAGCUCGUAGCCUGCUCAUUAAGUCUUUCGUUAAACCUAGCGAUUCAAUCGUUAACUCGCGUAAGAUACUGCUGGACUAGAGGAUGGGAGAGGUCGACGGUAGUCCUGGGGUAGGGGUGAAAUCCUAUAAUCCCAGGAGGACCGCCAGGGGCGAAGGCGGUCGACUAGAACAUGCCUGACGUUGAGGGACGAAAGCUGGGGGAGCGAACCGGAUUAGACACCCGGGUAGCCCCAGCUGUAAACGAUGCUGGUUAGGUGAUGGAACAGUUACGAGCUGUUCCAGUGCCGCAGAGAAGUCGCUAAUCCAGCCGCCUGGGAAGUACGGUCGCAAGACUGACACUUAAAGGAAUUGCCGGGGGAGCCCCACAAGGGGUGAAGGCUGCGGUUCAAUUGGAGUCAACGCCGAGAAACUUACCGGGACUGACACGCAGAAUGAAGUGUCAGGCUGAAGCUCUUACUAGACAAGCUGAGAGGAAGCGCAUGGCCGUCGCCAGUUUGUUCCGUGAGGUGUCCUGGUAAGUCAGGCAACUAACGAGACCCCUGCUGCUAGUCGCCAGCGGGUUCCACUGGAAUGCCGGGCACAGUAGGGGAACCCCCCCCGAUAAGGCGGAGGAAGGAGGGGGGCCCGCCAGUUCACUAUGCUCCGAAUGCCACGGGCCCCCCCCGGCCUCCAAUGGUAGGGCCAGAGAUUUCCGAACUGGAAAGGGUGAGCCAAUCUUUAAAGCAUUUCUCAGUUGGGACUGAGGGCUGAAACUCGCCCUCAUGAACAUGGAAUCCCUAGUAAUCGCGGGUCAUCAUCGCGCGGUGAAUACGUUCCCGGUCCU